GUGAGCAGAGAGGGAGCGGUGGGGGAAGUCUGUCCCAUGGGGUUCCUGAGCCCACGCAUGUCCCUCACCCUGAUGCUGCCCUGCAG
Molecule: microRNA precursor, 86 nt
Filed under: Microtus ochrogaster (prairie vole)
Lineage: Eukaryota; Metazoa; Chordata; Mammalia; Rodentia; Cricetidae
Description: miRNA (ENSMOCG00000006146.1)
Source: RNAcentral